Molecule: ribosomal RNA, 403 nt
Filed under: uncultured bacterium
Lineage: Bacteria
Description: partial 16S ribosomal RNA
Rfam family: Bacterial small subunit ribosomal RNA
Source: RNAcentral
GACGAACGCUGGCGGCGUGCCUAAUACAUGCAAGUCGAACGCAGUGGGGACGGGUGAGUAACACGUUGGUAACCUCCCCUCAGAGGGGAUAACACUUGGAAACAGGUGCUAAACCGAUACUGAUGGAUGGACCCGCGGUGCAUUAGCUAGUUGGCGGGGUAACGGCCCACCAAGGCGAUGAUCAGGAGCCGGUCGGAGAGGAGGAACGGCCACAUUGGGACUGAGACACGGCCCAGACUCCUACGGGAGGCAGCAGUGGGGAAUCUUCCGCAAUGGACGAAAGUCUGACGGAGCAACGCCGCGUGAGUGAAGAAGGUUUUCGGAUCGUAAAACUCUGUUGUUAGAGAAGCGGUAUCUAACCAGAAAGCCACGGCUAACUACGUGCCAGCAGCCGCGGUAAUUC